GCCUCUGUGGUGAAACUGGUAGACACGGCAGACUCAAAAUCUGUUUCCUGCAAAGGAGUAGGAGUUCGAUUCUCCUUGGAGGCA
Molecule: transfer RNA, 84 nt
Filed under: Strigamia maritima
Lineage: Eukaryota; Metazoa; Arthropoda; Chilopoda; Geophilomorpha; Linotaeniidae
Rfam family: tRNA
About the family: Transfer RNA (tRNA) molecules are approximately 80 nucleotides in length.
Source: Rfam by way of RNAcentral